CUUGUUGAGCGGGGCGUCGAGGAGGAAGCGCUUGGGGAGAUCGGGGUUGGCGAGGAAGAGCCGCCCAAACGCCACCAGGUCCGUGUAGCCGGAGGCCACGGCUUUGUUGCCCUCCUCGCGGUCGUAGCCGCCGGCGGCGAUGAAGGUCCCCUGGAAGGCCUUUCUGAUGGGGAGGAGUCCCUGGCGGAGCUUCCGGCGGCCCUCGACGAUGGCCAUCCGCGGCUCCACGACGUGGCAGUAGAGCAGACCCAGCUUGCUCACGGCCUUCGCCAUGUACACGCCGAGGGCCUCCGGGUCGGAGUCCCAGCUCUCCAUGUAGUCGACGAAGGGGGAGAGGCGAAUGCCGACUCGGUCGGCCCCGAUCUCGUCGACGACGGCCUGGACCACCUCCAGAGGGAAGCGGCACCGGUUCUCCAGGCUGCCGCCGUAUUCAUCCGUCCUGUCGUUCACACUGUCCUUCAUGAACUGCUCCAGGAGAUAGCCGUGCGCCCCGUGGACCUCCACCCCAUCGAAGCCUGUGGACAGUCCCGUUCAACGAAGAGACGCAAGGAUAGCGGGGGAGAGAACAAAGCAGAUAGGAGGAGGGAGACGGAGGAGCCGACCUGCCUCAAUGGCGUUUCUCGCUGCGAGCCUGAAGUCAUUGACGAUGUGAGGGAUCUCGUCCGUGCGCAGCCGGUGGGGAGGAGAGUACUCGGAGACGGAGUCAUCGUGCUGGACCACGGGUUGGAUGCCUCUGUCUGUGCUGGAGAUUGGAGCUUGCCCAUUAGGCUGUAAACCUGCACGUCUCCAAAUAUUGGAGAAAAACGAGUGAGGAGGGAUCAAUCUCUCUUCCUGGGUGAGGAUGAAACCAGGAGCAAGAAGAAGGCUAUGGGAGGAUCACCGUAGUUCGAGACCCUCCCCACAUGCCACAUCUGGCAAAAGAAUACGGCGCCCUUGUCGUGGACGGCGCGGACAAUGGGCUUCCAGGCUUCCACCUGCUCCUUGGUCCAGAUCCCCGGCGUCUCGGGAUACCCCUGAGCGGUGUCUGAAACUCCGGUGGCUUCGGUGAUGAGGAAGCCUCCCUUCGAGGCCCUCUGCGAGUAGUACAGCACGGCAUGCGGCUGGGGCACGUUGCCGUAUGAUCUCUGCCUCGUCAGCGGAGCAAGAACCACUCUGAAGAGGGUUACAACAGAAAAAAGAUCUCAGUACUGAAGAACGAGAUUUGAAAGAUUUGAGCAAAUCCGAGAUGGCGGGCGAGUGAGUAAAUCCGAGAGAUUCCCAGCGGGUCGUCCCUCGAUCCGUCACAGGAACGGUGGGGGGAAAGCUCGGACGAACCUGUGGGAGAGCUCGAAUUUGCCCAUCUUGUAGGGAGUAAGCAGGGGGACCGUCUCCUGUGCCAUCUCCGCCGCUCUUCUUCCUCCCCAGCGACCUCGAGUGCCCCUCUCCUCUCCUCCGAUAUCUACCACAGGGGCUCGUUCAGGAUGUAAUUUAUAGCACGGGUGACUGGGUGGUCGGCGAUGCUCGACGACUUCACCUUCCCCGGAUCUUCCAGCUGUCGGCUAGGGAGUGGCGACGGUGGAACCGAGGACCGCCGUCUCCCAGCAGAAUGGCUUGCAUCCUUCCAAGUGCCCGGCUGCUGUGGGGGCGGUCAAAGGCAGUCGUCCCUAAAAGCGGACACAGCAGCUGAACGAAGGUCAAAAUUGUCCUGGAGCCUGUACUUUUUUUCCUCUUUAUUCAGAGAAAGUACCCCAUAAAUCCAUAAAUGAUAUCACUCUGUAGGGAGUAUUCAGAGAAAGAUGAUAGAGAUAUUUUCGUUUUUGGGGAAAUUUUCGGUGUCAUGACGUCAUCGCAUUCGCGGUACCGUCCAUAUCUGUCAUUAAGAGUGAAUGCAUCCUUCGGAUCCAAUGAGCCAGCAUCUAGUCUCUCUGCUGGAAGCCGCCGAACGUCAGCGCUGUCGUGUACUUGGGCUUCGACGAUGCCUGUCAAAGCAUUCCACUUGAAUCACAGUCAACGGCCCGGGGCCGGGGCCAUUCUCUGAUGAGCUCCCGAGCCUCCCUUCAACGGUGAGCCCAGCCACGGCUCUCCUUUUCCGGGCCCCGAAUCAGAGGGCAGAAGCCGUCCACAUCCUCCUCCCAGACUGGAGGACACGUCGCACCGCCGUGGAGUUGACCGGCGAUAUGGGAGGGGGCUACGUAGAGGCUUCCUCAGCCGUUGGGUAUCCGCUCUGGAGGAACUCAACUGGUCCAUCUCCAUGAUUGGCGAUUCCUAAUCUACUUUCCGGUCAAUAAUUUCCGGCAUUUUUGUCUUGAAAAUUAUUCGAUAGCAUGAACAGUUUAGAUCAGCUCUCGGUACAUCAUUUACUGUCCCUCGAUCCAAAGAUCAUCUCUGUGGAUGAGCGGACGAUAAGGGAUGAUUCAGGAGAAGGCUGGCUGUGUUCCGUCUAAGCUGCUGGUUCGAGAAUGGGGUAAUCUGUGUAGCCGAUGACGGGGUCGGAGGUGAAGAAGGUGGUCCUGUCGUACUUGUUCAGGGGGGCUCCCACCUUGAAUCUUCUGGGGAGAUCCGGAUUUGACAAGAAAAUCCGCCCGAACGCCACCAGAUCGGUGUAUCCCUCCGCCACCACCUUGUUGCCGGAUUCAAGGUUGUAUCCGCCGGCGGCGAUGAAGGUCCCCUUGAAGGCCUCCCUUAUCGGGCGAAGGCUGUAGGGGAUCUGGAGCUUCCCGUCCACGCGAACCAUCCUCGGCUCGACGACGUGGAAGUAGACGAUGCCGCGCUUGCUGAGGGCCUGAGCGACGUGGACCCCGAG
RNAcentral lists this long non-coding RNA (2782 nucleotides) under Spirodela polyrhiza (greater duckweed). Its description in RNAcentral is "long non-coding RNA (SPOL_LNC002128)". The record is from RNAcentral. Lineage: Eukaryota; Viridiplantae; Streptophyta; Magnoliopsida; Alismatales; Araceae.